Astyanax mexicanus (Mexican tetra) is the source of this 310-nucleotide long non-coding RNA. RefSeq lists it as uncharacterized. The record is from RefSeq and is a predicted model, not a curated record. NCBI's taxonomy places the organism in Eukaryota, Metazoa, Chordata, Actinopteri, Characiformes, Acestrorhamphidae. The transcript is spliced from 4 exons.
UUCUGUAGUUCUGAGAUUCUGAGGUUCUGAAGUUCUGUAGUUCUGAGGUUCUGAAGUUCUGAGGUUCUGAAGUUCUGAAGUUCUUUGGUUCUGAAGUCCUGUAGUUCUGAGGUUCUUGAGUUCUAUAGUUCUGAGGUUCUAAAGUUCUGUAGUCCUGUAGUUUUGUAGUUCUGAGGUUUUGUAGUUCUGUAGUUCUGAGGUUCUGAAGUUCUUUGGUUCUGAAGUCCUGUAGUUCUUGAGUUCUACAGUUCUGAGGUUCCGAAGUUCUGUAGUCCUGUAGUUUUGUAGUUCUGUAGUCCUGUAUUUCUGA